CCUACGGGUGGCAGCAGUGAGGAAUAUUGGUCAAUGGCCGUAAGGCUGAACCAGCCAAGUAGCGUGAGGGAAGACAGCCCUAUGGGUUGUAAACCUCUUUUAUGCGGGGAUAAAGUUGUCCACGUGUGGAGUUUUGCAGGUACCGCAUGAAUAAGCACCGGCUAAUUCCGUGCCAGCAGCCGCGGUAAUACGGAAGGUCCGGGCGUUAUCCGGAUUUAUUGGGUUUAAAGGGAGCGUAGGCGGGUCUUUAAGCGUGCGGUGAAAUUUUGUGGCUCAACCCUUAGAGUGCGGUGGGAACUGGAGGACUUGAGUGUGCGGAGGGCAGGCGGAAUUCGUGGUGUAGCGGUGAAAUGCUUAGAUAUCACGAAGAACCCCGAUCGCGAAGGCAGUCUGCCGGAGCAUUACUGACGCUGAAGCUCGAAAGUGCGGGUAUCAAACAGGAUUAGAUACCCGGGUAGUC
RNAcentral lists this ribosomal RNA (460 nucleotides) under uncultured bacterium. RNAcentral's name for it is "partial 16S ribosomal RNA". It matches the Rfam family "Bacterial small subunit ribosomal RNA", at positions 338 to 795 of the family's 1533-position model. The record is from RNAcentral.